Molecule: ribosomal RNA, 391 nt
Filed under: uncultured bacterium
Lineage: Bacteria
Description: partial 16S ribosomal RNA
Rfam family: Bacterial small subunit ribosomal RNA
Source: RNAcentral
AUACGGAGGAUCCAAGCGUUAUCCGGAUUUAUUGGGUUUAAAGGGUGCGCAGGCGGAAGAUUAAGUCGGCGGUGAAAUUUUGCAGCUCAACUGUAAAAGUGCCUUCGAAACUGGUUUCCUUGAGUGUAGAUGAAGUAGGCGGAAUUUGUGGUGUAGCGGUGAAAUGCAUAGAUAUCACGAGGAACUCCGAUUGCGCAGGCAGCUUACUAAACUACUACUGACGCUCAGGCACGAAGGCGUGGGGAUCAAACAGGAUUAGAUACCCUGGUAGUCCACGCAGUAAACGAUGAUUACUAGCUGUUUGCGAUACAAUGUAAGCGGCUGAGCGAAAGCGUUAAGUAAUCCACCUGGGGAGUACGUUCGCAAGAAUGAAACUCAAAGGAAUUGACGG